Molecule: ribosomal RNA, 189 nt
Filed under: uncultured bacterium
Lineage: Bacteria
Description: partial 16S ribosomal RNA
Rfam family: Bacterial small subunit ribosomal RNA
Source: RNAcentral
UACGGGAGGCAGCAGUGGGGAAUAUUGGACAAUGGGCGAAAGCCUGAUCCAGCCAUGCCGCGUGUGUGAAGAAGGUCUUCGGGUUGUAAAGCACUUUAAAUUGGGAGGAAGGGCAGUCAGCGAAUACCUUGCUGUCUUGACGUUACCGACAGAAUAAGCACCGGCUAACUCUGUGCCAGCAGCCGCGGU